GGAGUUCAGUCUUCCCAGGCCCACCACUUUCAUCGAGUGAGCAUUCGUCUUCUGGUUACGGGGCCAUAGCUCAGCUGGGAGAGCGCGUGCUUUGCAAGCAUGAGGUCGUCGGUUCGAUCCCGUCUGGCUCCACCAGAUGGUUUGAUCACCGAGAUCUUGUACCGUCGUCCGCGAAACAUCACUUCGCAUCCUGCUAGUCUGGAUAGACAGCAAGAUGCGUGUUUUCUGACAUCGUAAAGAGGAGAUCGAUCCGAGUUGGGUCGUGCAGCGGAUUGUUGCGCGAAUCCUUCAUUAUCUCCGGAUCAUUUUCGGCGCUCGCUUUCAGCCGUGAGGUUGAAUGCGAGUUGUAAAAUGAUCCUUUUAGCGAAGCUUGACCGCCUCGCUAUCGGAACGAUCUUACGAAGCAAGCUGGUCUUUCUAGUCAAUGUCCGGCUGUGCGUAGCGUUCAUCGAGGGCGCGUGCCGUAAGGCAAUCGUACAGACAACAUUCUGCCGAGUGUGUGGACAUUGAUAAUGAGAGCAAUCAAGUGCCUUAAGGGUGUUCGGUGGAUGCCUUGGCGCUGAGAGGCGAUGAAGGACGUGCUACGCUGCGAUAAGCCGUGGGGAGCUGCGAAGAAGCUUUGAUCCGCGGAUUUCCGAAUGGG
Molecule: unclassified non-coding RNA, 643 nt
Filed under: uncultured Bradyrhizobium sp.
Lineage: Bacteria; Pseudomonadati; Pseudomonadota; Alphaproteobacteria; Hyphomicrobiales; Nitrobacteraceae
Description: partial 16S-23S ribosomal RNA intergenic spacer
Rfam family: Bacterial large subunit ribosomal RNA (bases 521-643)
Source: RNAcentral